Molecule: ribosomal RNA, 879 nt
Filed under: uncultured bacterium
Lineage: Bacteria
Description: bacterial SSU rRNA
Rfam family: Bacterial small subunit ribosomal RNA
Source: RNAcentral
AGAUUGAACGCUGGCGGCAGGCUUAACACAUGCAAGUCGAGCGGUAACAGGUCCAGCUUGCUGGAUGCUGACGAGCGGCGGACGGGUGAGUAACGCGUAGGAAUCUACCCAGUAGCGGGGGAUAGCCCGGGGAAACCCGGAUUAAUACCGCAUACGCCCCACGGGGGAAAGCAGGGGAUCUUUGGACCUUGCGCUAUUGGAUGAGCCUGCGUCGGAUUAGCUAGUUGGUGGGGUAAAGGCCUACCAAGGCGACGAUCCGUAGCUGGUCUGAGAGGAUGAUCAGCCACACCGGGACUGAGACACGGCCCGGACUCCUACGGGAGGCAGCAGUGGGGAAUAUUGGACAAUGGGGGCAACCCUGAUCCAGCCAUGCCGCGUGUGUGAAGAAGGCUUUCGGGUUGUAAAGCACUUUCAGUGAGGAGGAAAUGGUGACGGCUAAUACCCGUUACAAUUGACGUUACUCACAGAAGAAGCACCGGCUAACUCCGUGCCAGCAGCCGCGGUAAUACGGAGGGUGCAAGCGUUAAUCGGAAUUACUGGGCGUAAAGCGCGCGUAGGCGGCUAAAUCAGUCGGGUGUGAAAGCCCUGGGCUCAACCUGGGAACUGCAUUCGAUACUGUUUAGCUAGAGUAUGGGAGAGGGUAGUGGAAUUCCAUGUGUAGCGGUGAAAUGCGUAGAUAUGUGGAGGAACACCCGUGGCGAAGGCGACUGCCUGGCCCAAUACUGACGCUGAGGUGCGGAAGCGUGGGUAGCGAACAGGAUUAGAUACCCUGGUAGUCCACGCCGUAAACGAUGUCAACUAGCCGUUGGAGGACUUGAUCUUUUAGUGGCGCAGCUAACGCGAUAAGUUGACCGCCUGGGGAGUACGGCCGCAAGGUUA